AUGCCGCACGCGCGCUCCGAUCUGGGCUUGGAUGAUUCGCCGGCAGAGUCGUCGAGCUUCCGCAGCCCCAGUUCUUUCCCCAGAACAAAGCGUACAAAGUGGUCUGACAGGGAACCGCUUGAUUGUUCCGCCUCGGCUUGCAGUGGUGCACGCGUGAACAUGCUUGACCGGUGUUCGGAGAGGCGUCAGAUGGCUUCCUGUAGCGGCGACCAACCACAGAGCUCAGGCAUGUUUGUUGCCACGCAGGGGAAUGUUUGUCCUGUCAAUAACGGCGGUGGGAUCUAUUCGCAGUCUGGCAUGGGCUAUUCAAAUGGUCAAAAUGGGACAUAUGGUGCAUAUCCGCAACAUCAGCCCUUUGAAGGCUGUAUGUAUGUGAAUGAGCAUGGCCAGAUGUGUGGGCCUUACGCACCCAAGCAGCUCUAUGAGGGGCUAUCCAGUGGUUUCUUGCCUCAAGAUCUUGCUAUUUAUGCUCUUGUUGGUGGGCAAAUGCUCAAUCCUGUAGCCUUGAGUUCUCUAGAGCAGUUCCUUUCACAAUGGAAUUCUGCUGGCGCGGUCACCACGCCAAAUGAAUCGAAGGAGAAUAAGACAGUGGCUCGUACUGAUAAAAUGGCGCUUCCAGAUGCUCUCUCAAGCGAUGAGUCAUGCUGGAUGUUCGAGGACAGCGAUGGUAGCCGUCAUGGGCCACAUUCUCUUGCUGAACUUUCUUAUUGGCUUCAUAGCAGCUAUCUCCAGGAUCUUUCUAUGGUUUACCAUGUUGAUAGCAAAUUUGGUCCAUUUACACUUGUCUCAUUAAUUGAUUGGUGGAGUGGAGGUCACACCGAGCAUUCAGAAGCUUCAGAGAAUGAUUCUGGGUCAGCCAGUGACGUGAUGGGUGACAUAGUCGAUGAUAUUAGUCAUCAGCUCCAUGCCGGUAUAGUGAAAUCAGCCCGCAAGAUUUUUGUUGAUGAAAUUUUCAGCUGUGUGCUUCCAGAAAUUAUCGCCUGUAGGAAGACUGAGAAGCAACUAGCUGCAAAAUCGAAACUCCUAGCUGUUAAGCCUGACAGCAAGAAGGCUUCAGCAUUAAAGGGCAAGGCUCAUGCAAAAUUUACUGAUCACAAAAAAGGAAACUCAUAUAAUACAGUACGAGCAACUUCUCCCGUGGCUGUUCAGUCAACUGCGGUGCAUGCCAAAUUUGCUGAUAUAUUAUCAGCAGUUUGGCAAACUCUUUAUUACGAAUCCAUGAAGAAUAUCUGGGAUGGGAUACUGUAUGAUCCUGUUAUGGACUACUGUGGUGCAUGGAUUAAGAGAAAUCACCAUUCAAGUCUUCCUUGUACGAGUAUUCCUGGUGGGUCUGAUAAUGGAAACAAGCAAGAAGCUGACGGAUUGAAGGUAAUAUGUGAUUCAGAAGCUAUCGAGUGCGACAUGGAUUUCCCACCUGGAUUUGGGCCAACAUUGGAGUGUGCAAGCCCUGUCUCUCCGCCGUUGUUAGAUAUUGGUUCUUGCGAUGGCAAAAAUAGUUGGUGGCGUGAAUCAAGUUCCACCAUAUAUUUUGAUCCCUCAUCAGGAGUCCAGGUAAUGCUGGCAAAUGAACUAUACGUGGCAGCAAAGGAAACUUUGUUUCACCAUUUCAGGAAGGUUAUUGCAGAGGAGAUAACAAACUGGUUGGGCUUUGGACUUGAAGACAUCACUGAUCAAGAACUAAUUCGUACUCCUGUUCAUGCACCGGACUCGCCUAGUUCUGCUGGAAUGGACAUUCAUGAAACACCCCCCAUUCCUUCUGAAAUGGCUCAAGAUAAAUUAUUGGAUAUUGCUAAAAUGACUACAGAUGCAAUAACCAGUCCGGCUGAAAUGGCUCUAGAUGCAAUAACCAGUCCGGCUGAAAUGGCUCUAGAUGCAAUAACCAGUCCGGCUGAAAUGGUUCUAGAUGCAAUAACCAGUCCGGCUGAAAUGGCUGUAGAUGAAGUGUUGGUUACAGCUGAAAUAGCUACUGAUACUGUACCCAUUCCUGCUGACAUGGUGGCAGGCGCAACAUCAUCUGUAUCUGAUGUGGCAACAGAUAAAAUGCUCACUUCUCAUGUGGAGCAUCAAUCCCCUUCUUCAUCUUAUGCUAGUAUAUUUGAAAAGCUGGAUGUAUCCGAGGCAGCUGAAUUGGAUGAGAGUUUUGAUGAGGUGCCUCCUGGUAUGGAGACUGGCUCAGCUUCUGUGCUGGUCAUGGACAAAAACAAAUACCGACCUUCAAAACCAACCAACUCUAUGCCCGGAAUUUCUAGAUACAUUACCGUGGCUAUCUGCAGGCAGACACUGCAUAAGAAUGUUAUAGAAGAGUGGGCAUCUCUCCUGUCAGAUACUAUCAGUGAGUGCCUUGAUUCAUGGUAUACCAAGCAGACUGUUGUGCCUAAAAACAUCGACGAAUCAUUGAGACCUAAUAAAGAAUAUGCGUACUACAGAAAGAGAAAGUUAAGGAACAGCUGUGAAGCAGUGUCAUCCAAAAAAGCAGUGAGAACUCCAACGGAUGAGCAGCUUUCCAAGCCUCUACGUGAGCUUGUUGAGCGCAAGGUUCAUCUUAAAAAUGUCCAGGAACCAAGGAAGGCCGGGAAGUCGAAAAAGUCCUCCAAGAGUCGUACCAAAACUCUUGAUAAUGUUGUAAACACUUUGAAUAUCGAACAAGGCUUGAAGCGGCUUUCCAAUGAUGUGCCAAAGACCUCCAUGAGUCGUACCAAAACUCUUGAUAAUGCUGUAAACCCUUUGAACAUUGAACAAGGCUUGAAGCGGCUUCCCAAUGAUGUGCCAAAGGCCUCCAAGAGUCGUACCAAAACUCUUGAUAAUGCUGUAAACCCUUUGAAUAUCAAACAAGGCUUGAAGCGGCUUUCUAAUGGUGUGCCAAAGGCCUCCAAGAGUCGUACCAAAACUCUUGAUAAUGCUGUAAACCCUUUGAAUAUUGAACAAGGCUUGGAGCGGCUUUCCAGUGAUGUGCCAAAGAUCUCCAAGAGUCGUACCAAAACUCCUGAUAAUGUUGUAAGCCCUUUGAAUAUCGAACAGGACUUGAAGCGGCUUUCCAAUGAUGUGCCAAAGAGACAAAGGACUUCUCAUCUUACUAGGAUGCCUCUGGUUGAUAACGAGGUUCCUUUUGAGAACGUUAGUGUGCCCACAAAGCUUGCAAAGAAAAGAAAGAAUAAGAACAUGUCUACUGACUCCAGUCAGAAGGCAAAACCAUUGAUUUUGUGUCCAGAGUCAGAUGGUUGUGCAAGAGCUUCCUCCAAUGGGUGGGAGUGGCGUAAUUGGGCACGCACCGCCACUCCAUCAGAAAGGACUCGUGUGAGAGGGUACCGCGUUCGGAGUAUUCUUUCAACUUCAGCUAAUAAUGUGUGGAAAAACCCACAAGUUAAAGGUACAUCUGCGCGAACAAACCGCGUUAAGUUACGAAACCUGUUAGCUGCUUCUGAAGGCACCGAGCUACUGAAAAUUACCCAAUCGAAGGCAAGGAAGAAGCGGUUACGUUUUCAAAGGAGCAAGAUUCAUGAAUGGGGUCUGGUGGCCCUUGAGUCAAUUGAUGCAGAAGAUUUCGUUAUUGAAUAUGUUGGUGAACUGAUUCGCCGGCCGGUCUCAGACAUACGUGAGGCUCAAUAUGAGAAGAGUGGAAUUGGAAGCAGUUACCUUUUUCGCUUGGAUGAUGAUUAUGUGGUUGAUGCUACAAAGCGUGGCGGUUUAGCAAGAUUUAUCAACCAUUCGUGUGAGCCGAAUUGUUAUACAAAAAUAAUUACUGUUGAGGGCCAGAAGAAGAUUUUCAUUUACGCAAAGAGGCGUAUAUAUGCUGGCGAAGAAUUGACGUACAAUUACAAAUUUCCAUUGGAGGAAAAUAAGAUACCAUGCCACUGUGGUUCCCAAAGGUGCCGUGGUUCAAUGAACUAA
This 3888-nucleotide ribosomal RNA is filed under the name Triticum aestivum (bread wheat). RNAcentral describes it as "partial small subunit ribosomal RNA". The record is from RNAcentral. Lineage: Eukaryota; Viridiplantae; Streptophyta; Magnoliopsida; Poales; Poaceae.